GUGGGCGGCGACCGGCAAACGGGUGCGGAACACGUACACAACCUUCCGAGAAGUGGGGAAUAGCCCAGAGAAAUUUGGAUUAAUACCCCGUAACAUAACGAUGUGGCAUCACAUUGUUAUUAUAGCUUCGGCGCUUCUUGAUGGGUGUGCGGCUGAUUAGAUAGUUGGCGGGGUAACGGCCCACCAAGUCUACGAUCAGUAGCUGAUGUGAGAGCAUGAUCAGCCACACGGGCACUGAGACACGGGCCCGACUCCUACGGGAGGCAGCAGUAAGGAAUAUUGGUCAAUGGACGCAAGUCUGAACCAGCCAUGCCGCGUGAAGGAUUAAGGUCCUCUGGAUUGUAAACUUCUUUUAUCUGGGACGAAAAAAGGCGAUUCUUCGUCACUUGACGGUACCAGAGAAAAGCACCGGC
Molecule: ribosomal RNA, 413 nt
Filed under: uncultured bacterium
Lineage: Bacteria
Description: bacterial SSU rRNA
Rfam family: Bacterial small subunit ribosomal RNA
Source: RNAcentral